Molecule: long non-coding RNA, 2355 nt
Filed under: Callithrix jacchus (white-tufted-ear marmoset)
Lineage: Eukaryota; Metazoa; Chordata; Mammalia; Primates; Cebidae
Description: lncRNA (ENSCJAG00000086303.1)
Source: RNAcentral
AUGGAAAGAAGCCCACAGUUUCAGGUAUUUAUGAAGAAAUAUAUUAGAACAAUGACAACAAAAAUAUUUGCUGACCGCUGUCUCAAUAAGAAGGAAGGCUGGGAGGCCAAAGCAGGUGGAUCACGAGGUCAAGAGAUUGAGACCAUCUUGGUCAACAUGGUGAAACCCCGUCUCUACUAAAAACAAAAACUUAGCUGGGCACGGUGGCAUGUGCCUGUAAUCCCAGCUACUUAGGAGGCUGAGGCAGGAGAAUUGCCUGAACCCAGGAGGCGGAGGUUGCAGUGAGCCGAGAUCGCGCCAUUGCACUCCAGCGUGGGUAACAAGAGCGAAACUCUGUCUCAAAAAAAAAAAAGAAGGCAAGAACAAAACCAAAUCGACCCAAUCCUGAUUGGAGCAAAAAUGUGAGAACAAAAACCCUAUUUUAAGGCAACCAAAGAAUAUAGAAAGUGACUUCUACGACUCACCUGUCAAAGGUGAAUACUCUUGUUUCUGAAGACAAGCCAUCUGAGAGAUCAUAAAUGCUUGAUAGUUUUUUUCUACAGGCAUUAGAACAGGACAAUUUAAGGUUAACAAAAAAGUACACUGAGGUUUUACACUUACUUUGGUCAACUUUUGCCAAUUUCUGCUGUCACAUAUUUUCUUACCAAUAAAAUAGUACCAUUGUUACAUAAAUUGCUUAUUCUGCUUACCAUGGAAAUUUUCUAUCAAUCUGUAAACAUGACAAAACUAUAUUAUAAAAUAGUUUCUGGGGUCUAUAUUUUAAAAAGGUUUUCCCAAGUUUUAUAUUAUGAACUCUUACAACUCUAUUCUAUGGUUUUACACUGAAUUUUUUUAUUCAUAUACAAUCCUCAUAUUCUCCUAUUUAAGAACUUGUUUCAUGUGCAUUCUUGAAUAAAAUUUAUUUAGAAAGUUAAUGUUUGAUGACUUUUUAGAUGUUUGAAUAAUAUUCUAAUGUGAAUAACAGUCUAUAUUUUACUGCAGGCCUUUUUAUGUUUAUUCUAGAUUUUAGAUUAUGGUUAUUGUGUGGAUUAUAUUAAACUAGAAAAAAAGGAGACAGGACAGAGUAAGUCAAUGAGUAUUUCUCUUCUACUUUAGAGGGAUUUUAAUUAAUCAUAGAAACUUACUGAAAAUACUCCAUUGUUUUCCAAUAUUUUAAGUACCAAAAAGCUAAAUGACAUCCUGACACUUGUUAGUUUAAAAGAAAAUAUCAAAGAAAACUUUUUAUUUGGUUGCUUUCCGGCAUUUAACAAAGGAAAGAAGCUGGGAAAGAGGGAAAAAAUGAAAGUAGAGUAAAUAUUCUACUUAUUCUUUCUCUAUAUUAUAAGAAAUUAAUGUCAAACUUUCUCUCCUGUGAGUUUAGGAACAUACCAUGCCACAUAUUCAUAUCAUUUAUCAUCAACCUGAGACAGUUUUGAGAGUGAAAAAGAAUAGUUCCAUAAUUAUUCUAGGAAAGCCCGCAUAAAACAGGAAUCUGCCACGCAAACUAGAAAGCAUAGCUAAAAUACUAUAAUGGCUUGUCUUUAAAACAUUAAUUCACUUCUAUUUUAUGAAAUAUUAAAAUAUAAUUUUUCUUCUAGUAGUUUCAUAUCUUAGAUUUGUCUUUAAUUCAUUUUGGUUUUAUUUUUGUACAUGAAGAAAGAAAGGGACCUUGUUUUGUUCUUCAGAUGGAUAUCCAGUUUCCCAGAACCAAUUAUUGAAUAGAUUGUCCUUUCCCUAAUGUACAUUCUUGGUGCCUUUAACACAAAUGAUUUGACUGUAAAUGCAAGGAUUUAUUUCCGGGUUCUCUAUUCUGUUCCAUUGGUCUAUGUGUCUGUUUUUAUACCAAUACCGUGCUGCCUUGGUUACUAUAGAUUUGUAGGGUAACUUGAUUACAGGCAAUGUGAAUACUCCGGCUUUAUUCUUUUUGUUAAUUUCUAAGUUUUGUGGCUACAUGGUGGAUGUAUGUAUUUGUAAGGUACACGAGAUAUUUUAAUACUCAUGCAUUGCGUAAUAUAAAGUCAUGUAAAAUAGGGUAUCCUUCCACUUAGGAAUUUAUGCUUUGUGUUACAAACAAUUCAAUUAUAUCCUUUUAGUUAUUUUAGAAGGUAUAGUUAAAUUAUUAUUGACUACAGCCACACUUUUGUAAUAUCAAAUACUCAGUCCUAUAUCCCCACCUCCUUCCCACUUUCCCAUUACCCUUCCCAGCCUCUCAUAACCAUUCUUCUAUUCUCUAUCUUCAAAAAUUCAGUUGUUUUAAUUUUUGAAUCUCACAAGUGAGAACAUGUGACGUUUGUCUUUCUGUGUUUACCCCAUUGCAUUUAACAUAACGACCUCCAGUUCUGAUGGCAGUGGUGGCCUAUCUGGAGUGGCAGCUGC